AAUCUUACUCAAAAAUAGAGUAA
Molecule: small nuclear RNA, 23 nt
Filed under: Arabidopsis thaliana (thale cress)
Lineage: Eukaryota; Viridiplantae; Streptophyta; Magnoliopsida; Brassicales; Brassicaceae
Description: snRNA_13089
Source: RNAcentral